Molecule: ribosomal RNA, 223 nt
Filed under: Pseudomonas aeruginosa
Lineage: Bacteria; Pseudomonadati; Pseudomonadota; Gammaproteobacteria; Pseudomonadales; Pseudomonadaceae
Description: partial 23S ribosomal RNA
Rfam family: Bacterial large subunit ribosomal RNA
Source: RNAcentral
CGUGAUCCGGAUCGAGGACAGUGUAUGGUGGGCAGUUUGACUGGGGCGGUCUCCUCCUAAAGAGUAACGGAGGAGUACGAAGGUGCGCUCAGACCGGUCGGAAAUCGGUCGCAGAGUAUAAAGGCAAAAGCGCGCUUGACUGCGAGACAGACACGUCGAGCAGGUACGAAAGUAGGUCUUAGUGAUCCGGUGGUUCUGUAUGGAAGGGCCAUCGCUCAACGGA